UUGAUCCUGGCUCAGAAUCAACGCUGGCGGCGUGCCUAAUACAUGCAAGUCGAACGCGAAGACCCCGCAAGGGGUUGGUAGCGUGGCAAACGGGUGAGUUACGCGUGGGCGACCUGCCUUCGAGUGGGGGAUAACCUUCCGAAAGGAGGUCUAAUACCGCAUGACAUGCCUCGUUUAGAUACGGGGACAUCAAAGCCGGUGACCGCAAGACCUGGCGCUUGAAGAGGGGCCUACGUCCGAUUAGCUAGUUGGUGGGGUAAUGGCUCACCAAGGCGACGAUCGGUAUCCGGCCUGAGAGGUCGGACGGACACACUGGGACUGAGACACGGCCCAGACUCCUACGGGAGGCUGCAGUAGGGAAUUGUUCGCAAUGGGCGCAAGCCUGACGACGCAACGCCGUGUGGAGGAUGAAGACCUUCGGGUCGUAAACUCCUUUCGACCGAGAUGAAUACGUGCCGACCUAAUACGUUGGCACGCUGACAGUAUCGAGGGAAGCAGCUCCGGCUAACUCCGUGCCAGCAGCCGCGGUAAUAAGGU
RNAcentral lists this ribosomal RNA (537 nucleotides) under uncultured Acidobacteriota bacterium. RNAcentral describes it as "bacterial SSU rRNA". It matches the Rfam family "Bacterial small subunit ribosomal RNA", at positions 13 to 529 of the family's 1533-position model. The record is from RNAcentral. Lineage: Bacteria; Pseudomonadati; Acidobacteriota.